Molecule: ribosomal RNA, 443 nt
Filed under: uncultured bacterium
Lineage: Bacteria
Description: partial 16S ribosomal RNA
Rfam family: Bacterial small subunit ribosomal RNA
Source: RNAcentral
CCUACGGGUGGCAGCAGUGAGGAAUAUUGGUCAAUGGGCGCGAGCCUGAACCAGCCAAGUAGCGUGAAGGAUGACUGCCCUACGGGUUGUAAACUUCUUUUAUAAAGGAAUAAAGUGAGGCACGUGUGCCUUUUUGUAUGUACUUUAUGAAUAAGGAUCGGCUAACUCCGUGCCAGCAGCCGCGGUAAUACGGAGGAUCCGAGCGUUAUCCGGAUUUAUUGGGUUUAAAGGGAGCGUAGAUGGGUUGUUAAGUUAGUUGUGAAAGUUUGCGGCUCAACCGUAAAAUUGCAAUUGAUACUGGCAGUGUUGAGUGCAGUUGAGGUAGGCGGAAGUGGUGGUGUAGCGGUGAAAUGCUUAGAUAUCACGAAGAAUUCCGAUUGCGAAGGAGGAUUACUAAGCUGACCCUGACAUUGAUGAUCAAAAGUGUGGGUAUGAAAAAGGAU